AUUGUUCGUAGGAUAAGUAAUAUAAAUAAAUUGAUUUCAGAGAGCUUGUGGUUAGUGUGAACAAGAAUCAAUAUUUAUAUGAAUCUACCUACUAUAUGAGAACAAUCGGUCAUAACCGUUAUUUUAGUGAAGUGCAAUUUAGUUAAAACUAAAUUGUUAAAUAGGGUGGCAACGCGUAGACCACGUCCCUUGU
This 193-nucleotide non-coding RNA is filed under the name Staphylococcus simiae. RNAcentral's name for it is "T-box sequence". It matches the Rfam family "T-box leader". Rfam says of the family: Uncharged tRNA acts as the effector for transcription antitermination of genes in the T-box leader family. T-boxes are found upstream of many aminoacyl-tRNA synthetase genes and some amino acid biosynthetic genes usually in Gram-positive bacteria. Lineage: Bacteria; Bacillati; Bacillota; Bacilli; Caryophanales; Staphylococcaceae. The record is from RNAcentral.